AUAGCUCAGUGGUAGAGCACAUGCCUAACAUGCAUGAGGUCCUGGGUUCAAUCCCCAGU
RNAcentral lists this transfer RNA (59 nucleotides) under Camelus bactrianus (Bactrian camel). It matches the Rfam family "tRNA", at positions 7 to 64 of the family's 71-position model. From Rfam's summary of the family: Transfer RNA (tRNA) molecules are approximately 80 nucleotides in length. Lineage: Eukaryota; Metazoa; Chordata; Mammalia; Artiodactyla; Camelidae. RNAcentral also lists the same sequence under 2 other names. The record is from Rfam by way of RNAcentral.